UUGACCUCGAAUCAGGUAGGAAUACCCGCUGAACUUAAGCAUAUCAAUAAGCGGAGGAAAAGAAACCAACCGGGAUUACCUCAGUAACGGCGAGUGAAGCGGUAACAGCUCAAAUUUGAAAUCUGGCUCUUGCGGAGUCCGAGUUGUAAUUUGUAGAAGAUGCUUUGGGUUGUGGGUUCGGCCUAAGUUCCUUGGAACAGGACGUCAUAGAGGGUGAGAAUCCCGUAUGUGGCCGAGGCCCGCGCCUAUGUAAAGCUCUUUCAACGAGUCGAGUUGUUUGGGAAUGCAGCUCAAAAUGGGUGGUAAAUUUCAUCUAAAGCUAAAUAUGGGCCAGAGACCGAUAGCGCACAAGUAGAGUGAUCGAAAGAUGAAAAGCACUUUGGAAAGAGAGUUAAACAGUACGUGAAAUUGUUGAAAGGGAAGCGCUUGCAACCAGACUUGGGCGCUGCCGAUCACCUUGAGUUUUCUCGAGUGCACUCGACAGCGCACAGGCCAGCAUCGGUUCGGGUGGCUGGAUAAAGGCCGUAGGAAUGUGGCUCUCUUCGGGGAGUGUUAUAGCCUACGGUGCCAUGCAGCCCAGCCGGACCGAGGACCGCGCCUUCGGGCUAGGAUGCUGGCGUAAUGGUUGUAAGCGACCCGUCUUGAAACACGGACCAAGGAGUCUAACAUCUAUGCGAGUGUUUGGGUGGUAAACCCAUACGCGGAAUGAAAGUGAACGUAGGUGAGAACCCCUUUGGGGCGCAUCAUCGACCGAUCCUGAUGUCUUCGGAUGGAUUUGAGUAAGAGCAUAGCUGUU
Molecule: ribosomal RNA, 796 nt
Filed under: Erysiphe quercicola
Lineage: Eukaryota; Fungi; Ascomycota; Leotiomycetes; Helotiales; Erysiphaceae
Description: eukaryotic LSU rRNA
Rfam family: Eukaryotic large subunit ribosomal RNA
Source: RNAcentral